GGAUAACAGCUGGAAACGGCUGCUAAUACCGCAUAAGCGCACAGAGCUGCAUGGCUCGGUGUGAAAAACUCCGGUGGUAUGGGAUGGGCCCGCGUCUGAUUAGGCAGUUGGCGGGGUAACGGCCCACCAAACCGACGAUCAGUAGCCGGCCUGAGAGGGCGACCGGCCACAUUGGGACUGAGACACGGCCCAAACUCCUACGGGAGGCAGCAGUGGGGAAUAUUGCACAAUGGGGGAAACCCUGAUGCAGCGACGCCGCGUGAGCGAAGAAGUAUUUCGGUAUGUAAAGCUCUAUCAGCAGGGAAGAUAAUGACGGUACCUGACUAAGAAGCCCCGGCUAACUACGUGCCAGCAGCCGCGGUAAUACGUAGGGGGCAAGCGUUAUCCGGAUUUACUGGGUGUAAAGGGAGCGUAGACGGCAAGGCAAGUCUGAUGUGAAAACCCAGAGCUUAACCCUGGGACUGCAUUGGAAACUGUCUGGCUCGAGUGCCGGAGAGGUAAGCGGAAUUCCUAGUGUAGCGGUGAAAUGCGUAGAUAUUAGGAAGAACACCAGUGGCGAAGGCGGCUUACUGGACGGUAACUGACGUUGAGGCUCGAAAGCGUGGGGAGCAAACAGGAUUAGAUACCCUGGUAGUCCACGCCGUAAACGAUGAAAGGUAGGUGUUGGGGAGCAAAGCUCUUCGGUGCCGCCG
RNAcentral lists this ribosomal RNA (692 nucleotides) under uncultured bacterium. RNAcentral describes it as "bacterial SSU rRNA". It matches the Rfam family "Bacterial small subunit ribosomal RNA", at positions 141 to 851 of the family's 1533-position model. The record is from RNAcentral.